ACCUACUGUUUAAUUUUGAGGGUUCGUUUUUACGAAUACUCAAAAUUAGCACUUUAAGCAACGGGAUUUAUCCGUUGGCGCUGUGCGUUAGCACUUUAAGCAACGGAAUUUAUUCGUUGGCGCUGUGCUUUAGCACUUUGAAGACUGCAUAUAUAUAUUUAGUGAUAUGACAUCUAAUUUGUAAUAUAUAAAGCUGAUAACUUUUUAAAAUUAUCGAAGUUGAUAGCUUCUAAUCUAUCAAACCUUUUUAACUGGUCAA
RNAcentral lists this unclassified non-coding RNA (259 nucleotides) under Clostridioides difficile. Its description in RNAcentral is "16S-23S ribosomal RNA intergenic spacer (ISR)". The record is from RNAcentral. Lineage: Bacteria; Bacillati; Bacillota; Clostridia; Peptostreptococcales; Peptostreptococcaceae.